UUCUGCCUGGUUCUGGUCUGGUUCUGUCUGGUUCUGUCUGGUUCUGUGGUCAAGUUCUCAGUAUUUGCCUGUAAUUCACUCAAAGACUGAGUCUGAACUAAGUCUUUGGUGUUUGAGUCUGGUCUAAGUCUCCAGAAGAGUUGACAGACUUUUGUGACUGUGUCUGGUCCGGUCUGGUUCUGGAGUCCGACCUGGACUCGGAGCAGACCCUGAGUCCUGGACUCUGGUGUUCUGACAUGACAUAACAACAGCAGCAGCUCUUCAUUAUGAUCACGAUCACACUGUUCAACCCAUUUAGCUGAUUGGUCAUAAAUCUCUCUGCAGCCUCGGCUAAAGAGAAGCUAAAAGCUUGUUUGGCUGCUUCUCUGACAAACUGUCAAAACACCAUCACAUCACUGUGUGUUUUCAUCCCACAGAUGAACUCAGUCCUUCAUUUAAGACUUUUUAACCACAGACACACACACACACACACACCAGGACCAGGACACGGCAGGAGGUUCUGUCUGGGUCUAAACUCUCUGACAGACUUUUAGUUCAAAUGUAUAGUACAUAGUAUUUAACCUAAAAUGUCUGGAGUAGAACCCACAACCCUGCGACUCUAAAACAUUUCCUUUGAGUGUUUUAUUUAUUUGUUGCGGUUUUGCCCCAGUUUAAGAACCGGUUUGUUGAUAUAAUACAGCCAAAGGGCGCCAGGCUGUCAGACAGCGCCACCUGCUGACACGUGUCUGUCGCUCACUCUCUCUAAUCCUGCAGCCGGAGCAGCAGGCGACCACACGCUACAGUGGGAUUAGGUGACGUUUCUGUCUGUGUUUGGGCUUAAAAUGAACGUCAUCAGUCGAUGAUGAACGUUCUAAAAAUAAAAAAUAAAUAAAACAAGAUUUGUUUAAAAAAAAUCCGUCUCUCUAUCGGGAAAAAAAUAUUUGGAAAAUAUAACAUUUGGUCACGUAUCUGCUUAAUCAGUGUUUAAAAAUUCUCUAAAAUUUAAAAAAAUGAUGAAAAUUUAAAAAUAUGUCGAUUUUGUUAAAAAUAUUAAAGUGAUUACACAAUUAUUAAAUAAUUUAUUUUAGAUUUUUUUUAAAUUAAUGACAUCAUCGUUCUCUGCUGUUUAUGACCAUUUAAUAGAAAGACUCAGACAUAGGGUGCGACCGCCCUCUAGCGGCCCUCACUUGAUAUAGGCUGAGAACAAGUUUUAAGCUCGAGCAAAAAAGAAGUGCAACAGUAUUUAAAAAAUGGUAAAAACUUAAUUAAAGAACGACAAGGCUAAAUGUGAAAGUGAAAAAGUGAAAUAAAAAACAGAAAAGAUAAUAACAUUCAUAACUUGUAAAAACAUUUCCCACAUUAUUGAUGCGUCGUUAAAAUAGUUUCAGUAAAUUAAGUCCUGGCACGUUGUACCUGCCCUGAGGAUGUUAGCGAUGGAACCUACCAGUAGAGGGCGGCAGAUCCACGUGCAUGUCCCUGAGUCUGACUUCAUCGCAGAUGUGAAGUCAUUAUCUUUAGCUUCGCCACAGCUCCUCCUAGAGGUGGUGUGUUCACGGCACUGAUACAACACUGUAAGACUAAAUGAUUGAGUAUGAAGACGGCCAUUACACCCCCUCACCCUCACCCUCACCCCCUCACCCUCUGGACAAUGGUUGACCACCAUGACUGGUAUGUUAAUUCUUAAGUCAGUGGAACUAAAAUGUGGUGCGAGGACCUUUAGGGCGACUCAAAGAUGUCAUUAUGGCCCCUUGGUGUCCUGUCAUGUCCUCAGGCAAAUUGACUGGGUGUCAGAGUGAUGAUUGGGGGGGGGGGUUCUUAUGGGCAGGGUCUCAUCCCUAUCAUCACCCGCCUGAUUCUGUCUAUCUACUUCAUUCAUUCUUCAUCUCCUCUCCUCCUCCUCUCCUCUCCUCUCCCCUCGUCUCCUCUCAUCUUAUUAAUCCUCUAACUUCCUCGCUUCUGCAGUGAGGUUCCGGGGUCAAACCUGUUAACCCGUCUUUAGACAGAUACAUCAUCACUGGGUGGGGGGGGCAGCGUUCUGGUCUCUCCACCUCCGGGCUGGACCGGCUGACAGAAAGUAGCUUUCAGCACCGGGCAAACAUUUGAUCUGUCCUGGGAUCAGCGUCCUCACCCCUCUCUCCCCCAUUAACUCGCCCUGUUUCGCUUCACUGCCUGAUUUUGUCUUUCAUGCGGCUCAGUCCGCCACACACCCUUCACCAACCUGGGGUCCGAAGGAGACCAGAACCACGGGCUCUUCUUCAGUCGGGGGUGAAAACCCACCGCAUGUGUCUGUGUUUGCAGGGGCUGAUGGGAUUUAUUCGGGCGGAGAGUGAAGCCUCUGAGCUGCUUUUAGGAUUUCGCCGACAACUUGUUUGUUGUUAGAGCGCAGCCUGUGGUGUUAACCCAUGACCUCGCUGCCCUUUGACCCGCGGGACGACAAGUCCGUCCACGCGUCAGGGGCAGCUGCUGUCAGACGGUGGAAACAUCCAGAGGGGAAGAGGGAGAGAGCGGAACAAUCAGAUCAAAAACACCGGAUACAUGAUCUGUCUGCAGGAAAAGUGUGAAUGAAGCCGCGGGCUGCACAGAGUCAGGGAUUAAAGAGCGCCAUCAGGAGGUUAAAUGACCAAUUAACAUCAGGAUGAACACAAACACUGGCCUCUGAAGAAGGAGAGACUGAAAACAGAGUAUAAAUAAAUCAAGUACUUCAAUAGUACUUCAUUAAUAUACAACAGUUCAGACCCAGAUACUCCCUCUCCCCCUGGGCUAACAUUUAGCCUCUGCUGCUGUAUAUGUUAGCAAUUCUGACCUAGCAAUUACUUUUUGGAUUUUCUUUUUAGUUAACUGUAAUUAACUGUCGACUAUCUCUGUUUUUGUUGCAUUUCUUGUUGCUAUGUUGUUAGCUAACGCCGAGCUUUCUAGAUGCAUUUAUUCCAUAGCUGUUUAUUCAAUGUUUUUGGCUAAUUCUUCUAAUAAUACUUUUUGGGUUUUAUUUUCUUUUGGCAACAUUGCGGCUAACCUCUUUAGCUUUUUAGUUGCAUCGUUCCCCGGCUCUCAUUUGUUUAACUUGCUGUCGUUUAGCUAUAUUAUUGGGUGGUGAUUUCUGAAUGAUCUGAAUUGGUUUUGGCCAUAUUUGGAGUUGUUCACGAUUUAUAUUAGUCAGCGUGUUUUUAGCUGAAUCGUCAGCUUUUUGUUUUGUUUUUUUGUGCUAACAUUCAUUUAUUCCCCUGGUGUUUUCUUCUGCUUCCUGAAUUUGUUUUUGUGGAAACUUUGCAGCUUCUGUACUUUCACCGCAUUCAUCAUAAAGAGGACGUACUCAACGUUCCACCUUUAGAACAUUAUGUACAAAGAACCCAUCACUUAGCCGUGGUAUCUUAAAGGUAGGGUUCAGGGGAACAGCUGGGGUUCAAGUGGCAAAGUUCCUGCUUUUACGUUAUUGUUUAUUGUACCUGGAACUCUGUGUCCAUCUGACAUCGGUUUCUGUGGCUAGCUGCUGAUCAGAGAAGCUGUUAGGAUGUUUUUUGUUUUUUUUUCCGAUCAUUUGCCGACGGUGACUGAUGCAGGAGAAUUCGGAGGUGAGCGACCAAAAACAUUCCAUGUGCCACUCACGCGUCCACAGGAAUUUGAUUAUCUUCAAAGCUCGUCGCCUCCAGCGUGUGAUAUGACUCAGAGCUGCAGAGAAAUAAAAAACAAAAAAGAGAAAAAAAAGUCAGACAUCUUGCAUUCCAGAAACCAUUCCACAAAGUACAAUAACUUCCUGGAAUUCUUCGACCCUCGGCGGCGGAGCCAGGGCACAUCCUGUUGUCCUCGCAGCACUUCCUGUUCCAUGCGGCCCAAUCAGUCUCCAGCGUUGCCAUGGCCACUGGAAAACAGUGGCGCUGGUGCUUUGAUGGUUAGCGUAAACAGGUAACGCUCGGCUGACGCAGCACAGAGGGACGAGUGAGACGAUCUGACAAGUCGAUGCCAGCAUCAAAUUGCUACUGGCGUCUCCACUGUGUAAUUUCAAAUACCGUAACAGGAAGGUGCACAUUUACAUGAUAAUUGAAGUACUGGUACGUGUCAGCGCUGCAGGUCCUCAGAGUUACUGUCAAACCAUGAGUUAAACCUUCGUUCUCCGUUCUUUUUUUAGUUGCACGGUAGCAGUGAAGUCAUCAGUCAGCCAUCUUCAUCUGGCAGCGUGUCAAUCAUCCUUGGGAUGGAGUAUGGAGUCUAUCAUAAGCUCUACUGCUCCAGAUCAGAUGCUCCAUCAAGAGGGGGGACACUUGGUCAGACACCCGGCGGACCCCCAGUGAGGAUAGAAAAGUAUCGGGAGGAAGAAGACUGACAGACGGAAAAUUCAACAAAAACGAGAAGAAGCUUCAAAAAGAGGUUUUGGACAGUCUGGAGUUCAGAUGCUGUGUUUUCGUCGAGGUUUAGACGUUUCCAUGGUGUGUCUUUUCACCGUCAUUACUCGUCUGUGAGACCACAUCAGUCCGUGCCAUGAGGUCGACCGACCGACGCUCCUCUUCAGAGUCCUCCUCACUCUGCAGCGUGGAGAGCGUCCCCUGGUCUCGACCCCCCCUUCCCUGCACGAUGGACUUUCUUCAGAGAAAAGGUCGCCUGGGUUCCGAAAACCCUUUUUCUGUAGAACAAAGUGUGAAGGUCGGCACGUCGUCCUUAGGAGGCCGGGCUCUUGCCCUCCCACGCCCUGGCCCUGUGGCGCCGUCGCAGCAGCCACUUCUCCAGCAGCAGUCUGGUUUUGGAGGCCAGUGCUGCAGGUGACGCCUGCUUCCUGUUGCUGCUGUGGACAAAGACAAGACAAGAGGCGACCUGACUGACGCUAUGAACUCUGGGAGUUUGGAAAGAGCUGCUUGAACAUCAGCUCCUGUUUGCACUGAGGCUCAGAGCAGCCGUGGCCUCGGGCGCUGAGGUGGAUCAGUGUGUCGGGCGAUGUCUCAUACCUGCGAGCCAGAGAAGAGAAGGAACACACAAACACACGCCAUUAGGAGCAGGAUCGACUGU
This is a long non-coding RNA of Cynoglossus semilaevis (tongue sole), 4974 nucleotides long. RefSeq lists it as uncharacterized. The transcript has 7 exons. The record is from RefSeq and is a predicted model, not a curated record. Lineage: Eukaryota; Metazoa; Chordata; Actinopteri; Pleuronectiformes; Cynoglossidae.